Molecule: ribosomal RNA, 510 nt
Filed under: uncultured bacterium
Lineage: Bacteria
Description: partial 16S ribosomal RNA
Rfam family: Bacterial small subunit ribosomal RNA
Source: RNAcentral
GACGAACGCUGGCGGCGUGCUUAACACAUGCAAGUCGAACGAAGAGCGAUGGAAGCUUGCUUCUAUCAAUCUUAGUGGCGAACGGGUGAGUAACGCGUAAUCAACCUGCCCUUCAGAGGGGGACAACAGUUGGAAACGACUGCUAAUACCGCAUACGAUCUGACCUCGGCAUCGAGGAUAGAUGAAAGGUGGCCUCUAUUUAUAAGCUAUCACUGAAGGAGGGGAUUGCGUCUGAUUAGCUAGUUGGAGGGGUAACGGCCCACCAAGGCGAUGAUCAGUAGCCGGUCUGAGAGGAUGAACGGCCACAUUGGGACUGAGACACGGCCCAGACUCCUACGGGAGGCAGCAGUGGGGAAUCUUCCGCAAUAGACGAAAGUCUGACGGAGCAACGCCGCGUGAGUGAUGACGGCCUUCGGGUUGUAAAGCUCUGUUAAUCGGGACGAAAGGCCUUCUUGCGAAUAGUUAGAAGGAUUGGCGGUACCGGAAUAGAAAGCCACGGCUAACUACGUG